CCUACGGGGGACAGCAGUGAGGAAUAUUGGUAAAUGGACGAGAGUCUGAACCAGCCAAGUAGCGUGAAGGAUGACUGCCCUAUGGGUUGUAAACUUCUUUUAUAAAGGGAUAAAACGAGGCACGUGUGCCUUUUUGCAUGUACUUUAUGAAUAAGGAUCGGCUAACUCCGUGCCAGCAGCCGCGGUAAUACGGAGGAUUCAAGCGUUAUCCGGAUUUAUUGGGUUUAAAGAGAGCGUAGAUGGGUUGUUAAGUCAGUUGUGAAAGUUUGCGGCUCAACCUUAAAAUUGCAAUUGAUACUGGCCGUCUUGAGUACAGUUGAGGUAGGCGGAAUUCGUGGUGUAGCGGUGAAAUGCUUAGAUAUCAUGAAGAACCCCGAUUGCGAAGGCAGCUUACUAAGCUGUGACUGACAUUGAUGCUCGAAAGUGUGGGUAGCAAACAGGAUUAGAUACCCGAGUAGUC
RNAcentral lists this ribosomal RNA (460 nucleotides) under uncultured bacterium. RNAcentral describes it as "partial 16S ribosomal RNA". It matches the Rfam family "Bacterial small subunit ribosomal RNA", at positions 338 to 795 of the family's 1533-position model. The record is from RNAcentral.